AUGCUCUCGGAGAGGCUCGAACUCUCGACCUUUGGAUUACUCUGAUCUGGAAUCAAAUCACAACAUUUGUUAUGAGACCA
RNAcentral lists this transfer RNA (80 nucleotides) under Fusarium acuminatum CS5907. Its description in RNAcentral is "tRNA-Trp". The record is from RNAcentral. Lineage: Eukaryota; Fungi; Ascomycota; Sordariomycetes; Hypocreales; Nectriaceae.